This 292-nucleotide ribosomal RNA is filed under the name uncultured bacterium. RNAcentral describes it as "partial 16S ribosomal RNA". It matches the Rfam family "Bacterial small subunit ribosomal RNA", at positions 505 to 796 of the family's 1533-position model. The record is from RNAcentral.
GUGUCAGCAGCCGCGGUAAAACGUAGGACGCGAGCGUUAUCCGGAGUUACUGGGCGUAAAGCGCGGGCAGGCGGCUGCUCAAGUGGGAUGUGAAAGCGCCCGGCUAAACCGGGCGAGGCCAUUCCAGACUGAGCGGCUGGAGGGCAGUAGAGGUGGGUGGAAUUCCGGGUGGAGUGGUGAAAUGCGUAGAGAUCCGGAGGAACACCAGAGGCGAAGGCGGCCCACUGGGCUGCACCUGACGCUGAGCCGCGAAAGCCAGGGGAGCGAACGGGAUUAGAUACCCCGGUAGUCC